GCAGCUGGGAAGCCGUCCAAUCUGGAGAGCCUCUACAAUUAGCAAAACAAGGUCUGGAAUUCCUGGACUUCACUCCUUGUUAGCGAGAAAGCGAAACACGUGAUGUUCUGCUUUGCUCUCAGUGUCAAAACCUUGUGCUCAUGGGCCCUGGCGGCUACACAGAAAGCCCUGAGGACUGAAACCCUGCAUGGGUACAUUUUGAUGGGGCAGGAAGAAAAGUUCUGGAGUGUGGAGAGCAGAGGUCCAGAGCAUUCACUGAUUUAGCCACAGAAGAAACAGAUGCGGAAACCGGGGCACAGCAGGCGAAGUGAAACUUCCCAUGUUCCAGCAAAGCCCAGUCCAUAACGUGAGGCUUUGUGAGGUUUGUGUGUGCGACCUUCACCCCUUCACCUGGACCCUCUCUUUGUCCUCCUUUCGCACCCAGUGAUGUGUGGCCUGGAUCACUUCCCUGCCCUCAAGUCUUGCCCUGGCCUGACGUUCAGCGGACCCUCCGUGCAUUAAGGAUGGAGGAUGGUUCCUUGUGCUUCCUCUACCAGGUGCACUUGUAUCUGCUCGGAAUUCUGGAAGAGCAAAGACCCACUGGCCCCACUAAUCCAUCUAUUGAUCCUGCCCCGGUCAGCAGGCUGGGUCUAGCCUCCACACUGCCGCUGCUCAGGGUCUGUGGAGGAAGUCGCUGCAGCCAUUCAGCCAGAUGAAUCGCAAUUAAUAAAUGUGGAACGAAUGAGAGACGAAGACGAUGAGCACCAGAGGACUGCAGGGAGCACGGCUGAGGCAACAUCACCAGAGGAUAGUAAAAUUAGCAGACAGAGAUCUAAGCACAAACAGUGUCUCUGUGUAGCCUUAAAGCAUCUCUUUGAAUAUUUAAUGGUUACAAAGGAAAAACAGUGAGUUGAUGGGGGAGAACCCUGGCAGGCACCACCCUAACCAAGAGAUCAAAGUUGGCAUGACCAGGCACAAGGCACACUAACAGCCCACACCCACUGAUCUGGCCCACCGAAAAUGCACAUCACUUCUGUGGCAUUGCCACGGAAUUUCCAAAAAGGCAUUACCUCAGUCCAAUGCAGAGAAGGCGUCAGGCAGACCUAGGCGGAGAGACUGUCCAAGAGCGACAGACCCAUCCUCUUAAAAAGCCGGCCCUGACACAGAAAGGAGACAGAGAAAGGUGACAGCCAAAUGCACGUGGGAGCUGGGAACAGAGGAGGGCACUGGGAGGGGCCUGCCUGCCGUCCAGCUCUCGAGACCACGGCGAGAUUCAGAAGGGAAUUGGGCCAUUCCUUCUCCAAAGCAGAACGUACUGCAGCUGUGAGAGUUCUAGGAGAAAAUUCAGGUGGAUGCUUCUGUAAUCUUGGAAUGGAGGCUAAGCCUGGCAACAAUGCUAGAAAACAGUGCUGAAGUUUGACAGAUUUAGCCACAUACAAUGGCAAAUGACAAACUGUAAAAGGAAUUCUUGUGAGACAGAGGAAGGAAGGAAGGAAGGAAGGAAGGAAGGAAGGAAGGAAGGUAGGAAGGAAGAAAGGAAGGAAGGAAGGGGCACCCUAAUAGGGCAAACAGUAGUAUAGGUCAGAAAUAACUUUGAAAGAACCACAGGGUGCUGGUGGGCCAAUCAGGGACAGACAGACCCCCUCUUCCAGGGGCUGGGCUGGGCUGGGGUGGGGUCCACAGGUGCAGCCCUGGAGCUGGGCUUGCCUGUCUGCAUCCAAGCAUCCCUGUGCUUUCCCUGUGAGCUGGCAGUCCCCACUAUGAGAUUCUAGCCUGGGAAUGUGCUAUAGGGAAGCUUACAGCAGCAGAUCAUAGAAAAGCAAAAUAGAAAUGUGAAAGGAAAAUAAAAACUUGGGACCCCUACUCCCUCCGCCAAAAGAAAAAAAAAAUGCUGAAAGUGGAGUCAUGCAAGAAGCUGCCUUUCCCUUUGUUCCUAAGCAGAUAGAGACAGAUAAAAGGUUAAAGAUCUCCACUCUGCAUUCACCUUAUCUUGUGUGAAGAGUCGAGUUACUGAGCAUGGGACGAACACAUAACUGACCAUUCCCCUACAUGCUCCUUUUCUUUUGCAACAUUUGGAUUCAGUAAUGUGACCAUACCCUCCCUCUGUCCCCUCCAGCUGGCUUUUUCCUUUAAAUACUGAAGCCCUCGAAAUCAUCUUUGGAGAAAGGCACAGACCUGUCUCCCAAGACGUGUCCUUAAUCUUGGCAAAGUAAACUUCUAAGUUGAUCGAGGCUUGUCUCAGAUAUUUUCAGGUUUACAGAAAGAAAUUCAAUUUCAGUCACAAACGGAAUGAUAAAAUAAGUUGUUACGCAUCCAUAGAAAGAAGAUAUUAACAUGAUGAACUUUCAAAUCAGCUUCUCAAGUGUCAACAUCCUGUUGCGAUUUUCAUUGAUAUUGAACUGAAUUUAUAGAUUUUGUAAGCAGAAAAAAAUUAUUUUAAUUUUUUGAGAAAAAAAGUUUUAAAUGGUUUGUUUUCAGACUGUGUCAAGAUAUCCCUACCUCCGAAGUUGUCAGGUUUGCGGACCUUGGGGUGAAGCGUGGGGCUGCUGGAGGCGUCCAGCCCUGACUGUGUGUCCAGGACAAUGAGCCCCGAAGUGAGCGGGCCGCGUCCUGUUGGCGCAGCCAACUUCACGCCCUCUGUCCAGGGAGGACUAAGGGACAAGCUGCAGCAGGCGCAGAGGACGCUGUUGGUGUCCGGGAGGCCGCUGGUACAGGGCGUUGGGCGUGGCUCCUUUCCAAGUGCCUUGCACUUUCCAGGCUGGGCUGCAGAAGCAGGCUCGGGGGCGACUCGCGUGGGGACUGAAGCAGCCAGCCUUGGCACCUGCCCACAGCAAAUAACUGCCUUGACUUGAUCUGGUUUUUUUGAAGAAAGGUUUAUUCAUACCCAUUAUGUGCGCAUGU
This 2880-nucleotide long non-coding RNA is filed under the name Homo sapiens (human). RNAcentral describes it as "HSALNT0060001". The record is from RNAcentral. Lineage: Eukaryota; Metazoa; Chordata; Mammalia; Primates; Hominidae.